This 265-nucleotide ribosomal RNA is filed under the name uncultured bacterium. RNAcentral describes it as "partial 16S ribosomal RNA". It matches the Rfam family "Bacterial small subunit ribosomal RNA", at positions 524 to 793 of the family's 1533-position model. The record is from RNAcentral.
UACGGAGGGUGCAAGCGUUAUCCGGAAUCACUGGGUUUAAAGGGUGCGUAGGCGGCGCUAUAAGUCAGAGGUGAAAGGCACCGCUUAACGGUGGGACUGCCUUUGAUACUGUAGUGCUUGAAUCAGGCUGAGGUCGGCGGAAUGUGACAUGUAGCGGUGAAAUGCUUAGAUAUGUCAUAGAACACCAAUUGCGAAGGCAGCUGACUAGACCUUGAUUGACGCUGAGCACGAAAGCGUGGGAGGCGACGGAAUAGAUAAGUACUAG